RNAcentral lists this ribosomal RNA (253 nucleotides) under uncultured bacterium. RNAcentral describes it as "partial 16S ribosomal RNA". It matches the Rfam family "Bacterial small subunit ribosomal RNA", at positions 524 to 776 of the family's 1533-position model. The record is from RNAcentral.
UACGUAGGGACCGAGCGUUGUCCGGAUUCAUUGGGCGUAAAGGGCUCGUAGGCGGCUGCUCAAGUCGAAUGUGAAAACUCGAGGCUCAACCUCGGGCCUGCAGUGGGUACGGGCAGACUAGAGUGCGGUAGGGGAGAUUGGAAUUCCUGGUGUAGCGGUGGAAUGCGCAGAUAUCAGGAGGAACACCAAUGGCGAAGGCAGAUCUCUGGGCCGUAACUGACGCUGAGGAGCGAAAGCAUGGGGAGCGAACAGG